UCUGGUGAUUAUGGCUUGAAGGUAACACUUGUUCCCAUACCGGACAUGUCGGUUAAGAUUCAAUGUAACCAGGUGCUACAGGGGGAACCUUGUGGAAGAGUAGGUGUCGUCAGGU
This 115-nucleotide ribosomal RNA is filed under the name Clostridium frigoris. Lineage: Bacteria; Bacillati; Bacillota; Clostridia; Eubacteriales; Clostridiaceae. The record is from RNAcentral.